Molecule: unclassified non-coding RNA, 149 nt
Filed under: uncultured Capnodiales
Lineage: Eukaryota; Fungi; Ascomycota; Dothideomycetes; Capnodiales
Description: sequence contains ITS1
Source: RNAcentral
CUGAGUGAGGGCCUCUGGCCCGACCUCCAACCCUUUGUGAUUAAACCAUUGUUGCCUCGGGGAGGUCCGGCCUCACGGCCGUGACGCCCCGGUGGACCAUUUCUAAACACUGCAUCUAUGCGUCGGAUUUUACAAGUUUAAUUUGAUUA